CCUACGGGAGGCAGCAGUGGGGAAUAUUGCACAAUGGGGGAAACCCUGAUGCAGCAACGCCGCGUGAGUGAAGAAGUAUUUCGGCGCGUAAAGCUCUAUCAGCAGGGAAGAGAAAGGAGGUAACUGACUAAGAAGCCCCGGCCAACUACGUGCCAGCAACCGCGGUAAUACGUAGGGGGCGAGCGUUAUCCGGAUUUACUGGGGGUUAAGGGGGCGUAGACGGCCAUGCAAGCCAGGGGUGAAAGCCCGGGGCCCAACCCCGGGACUGCCCUUGGAACUGCCUGGCUGGAAUGCAGGAGGGGCAGGCGGAAUUCCUGGUGUAGCGGUGAAAUGCGUAGAUAUCAGGAGGAACACCGGCGGCGAAGGCGGCCUGCUGGACCGCGACUGACGUUGAGGCUCGAAAGCGUGGGGAGCGAACAGGAUUAGAUACCCCUGUAGUC
This 440-nucleotide ribosomal RNA is filed under the name uncultured bacterium. RNAcentral's name for it is "partial 16S ribosomal RNA". It matches the Rfam family "Bacterial small subunit ribosomal RNA", at positions 338 to 795 of the family's 1533-position model. The record is from RNAcentral.